GAUGAACGCUGGCGGCGUGCCUAAUACAUGCAAGUCGAACGGAAGGACGAUAAGCUUGCUGCUCUGAUGUUAGCGACGGGCGAGUGAGUAACACGUGGAUAACCUACCUAUAAGACUUGGAUAACUUCGACAAAGCGGAACUACUGCCAGAUGAUAUUUUGAACCGCAUGGUUCGAAAGUGAAAUACGGGCUUGCUGACACUGAUAGAUGGAUUCGCGCUGCAUUAGCUAGUUGGUAAGGUAACGGCUUACCAAGGCAACGAUGCAUAGCCGACCUGAGAGGGUGAUGCGGCACAGUGGAACUGAGACGCGGUACUGAGUCCUACGGGAGGCCGCAGUAGCGAAUCGUCCGAGAUGGGCGAAAGACUGAAGGAGCAACGCCGGGUGAGUGAUGAAGGGCCUCGGAUCGUAAAACUCUGUUAGUAGUGAAGAACCUAUGUGUUAGGAACUGUGCAUAUCUUGACGGUACCUAAACAGAAAGCCCCGGCUAACUACGUG
RNAcentral lists this ribosomal RNA (497 nucleotides) under uncultured bacterium. RNAcentral's name for it is "partial 16S ribosomal RNA". It matches the Rfam family "Bacterial small subunit ribosomal RNA", at positions 28 to 507 of the family's 1533-position model. The record is from RNAcentral.